Molecule: ribosomal RNA, 379 nt
Filed under: uncultured cyanobacterium
Lineage: Bacteria; Bacillati; Cyanobacteriota
Description: bacterial SSU rRNA
Rfam family: Bacterial small subunit ribosomal RNA
Source: RNAcentral
CGAAAGCCUGACGGAGCAAGACCGCGUGAGGGAGGAAGGCUCUUGGGUUGUAAACCUCUUUUCUCAGGGAAGAAGCUCUGACGGUACCUGAGGAAUCAGCCUCGGCUAACUCCGUGCCAGCAGCCGCGGUAAUACGGAGGAGGCAAGCGUUAUCCGGAAUUAUUGGGCGUAAAGCGUCUGUAGGUGGUUUAGUCAGUCUACUGUUAAAGAGUACAGCUUAACUGUAUAUACGCAGUGGAAACUACUAGGCUUGAGUGUGGUAGGGGCAGAGGGAAUUCCCGGUGUAGCGGUGAAAUGCGUAGAUAUCGGGAAGAACACCAACGGCGAAAGCACUCUGCUGGGCCAACACUGACACUGAGAGACGAAAGCUAGGGUAGCC